GUUGGAUACUGGGAGAAGAAGGAAGAGUCAGUGCUUAGAGGAGCUGCCCAUGAGAAACAUCAAGGAGAAAAUACAAGGGGAAAGUGCCUCCCUCACAUGGAUCCUGCCUGCAGAGCUGCUGUUGCACCGUUCCUGCCCCAGCAUCCAGCACUGAUUCACCCCACAGGAGCCACAGCUGCGCCUGUAGGUGCCACUGUGAUCCAGCUGGGCAUGGACACUCUGUUGGGGACAGGUCCUGCUGCUUCAGCUCCUUGUCUGCCAGGAGCUCCCCCAAACUCUGCCUGGCCAUGCACCAGGAUUCAUCCUUCCCUGCUGACCCCCAUUCUGGAGUUGUAUCUGUUCUCCUCCUUUCUGGAUGGGUUUUGGGGUGUCCAUUGCUCCCUGCACGUGGGAGAAGGCAGACUCUUGCUUUUACACCUGCUGCAUAAACGUGUAAAUGUCAUGAGGCCCCUCGUUGCCAAAGAUGCUUCCUGAAGACUGAAGGUGCCAGGAAAGACCCCACAAAGCAACGGGACUGUGAUAGGCAGAAACCUGCCGUUCUCCCCUUUGUCGCUGCCAGCAGCCGGGGCUGGGGUGGCCUUGGGGACAAGGGGACAGGAGGGGCUGGCAAGGGCGCAGGGCCCGGCAUGUCCCGGCCUUUAUCUCCCCCUAGUGCCACCCGCCAGGCUCCUUUGCUCCGGUGCUGCCGAGCAGAGUCCGGCAGCGCCGCUCACACACGGCAGCCCUGGGGCUGAGGGGGCCAACUCUGGGCCAGCCACAUCCCAGAGCAGCGCAGGGACUGUGCGGAACGGGACAGGGCACGGCUGUGGGGCAGGACCCUGUUGGCCAUAAAUGACCUGAAAAUCCUGCUCAAGGAAGCCUCGGAAGAGCCACGACAUCCAACUGCAACAAGGAGGUGUUGGCCUUGCAGGAGCUGCGGUGGUGAUGGCAAGAGAGGAGAUGGUGGAGAGUGAGGUGCUGAAUGUGCCUUUGCUUGGCCUGAGGGGAUCCAAAAGGUGACAUUUCCGAGGCUGUUCUGGUGGCACUGUCACCUGAGCAAGGCCAAGGGUCCCUCGGAGCUGUGACAUUCCUGAAGGCAUGGGACAGGGUCACCCCUGCCUGUGAGGCCAUGGGGAUGAGGCAGCCUGGCCCGUGGAGCUGGAGAUCCCCUUCGGCCAGCAGGACCUUGCUCAGUGCUGAGCCGUUGUCAUGAGCUGUGUGUGCUCUCAGUUGUGUCCGGGCUCAGCAGCAGCCGGGUGUAGCACACAGCCCGCGGGGCUCUGCUCCUGUGGCUCCUCCUCUGUUCUCUCCGAGCUUCCCAUCGCCCGUGCUUUGAGCAGGAAAAAGGGGCAAGAGGCUCUUCCUCACAGUCUGGCUCUCCCCUCAGCCCGGCAGGGUAAGGUGUGGCAGGGAAAUGGUUAAAAAUUGGCACCACCAAAGGGCUCUGUACAGCUGGGUGGGGUCACAGGCUCGGUUCGGCUCCCCUGGGAGCCGCUGCGCACCCUGCUGCAGGUGAGUGCUGAGCUCUGCCUCGGGUCACCUGGCACCACUGGGGACUCCGCGUUUUGGGGCUGUCCCCAAGCUGGGGUUGGAGCCUGUGCUGAUUUAGUGCGUUUCUAUUGCUCUCCAAGUUUGCCGAUGCGUUUUUAGCGCUUAGAAAGUGCCCAUGGUGCUGGGGACACGGGGCAGGCUGGGGGGCGCAGGGCUGGGUGUGUGGGGGCAUACAGGGCAGGGUG
Zonotrichia leucophrys gambelii is the source of this 1715-nucleotide long non-coding RNA. RefSeq lists it as uncharacterized. The record is from RefSeq and is a predicted model, not a curated record. NCBI's taxonomy places the organism in Eukaryota, Metazoa, Chordata, Aves, Passeriformes, Passerellidae. The transcript is spliced from 3 exons.